UACAGAGGGGGCAAGCGUUAUUCGGAAUUAUUGGGCGUAAAGGGCGCGUAGGCGGCUUUUCAAGUGACGGGUGAAAGCCCUCGGCUUAACCGAGGAACUGCCUGUCAGACUGGAAGGCUUGAGACCGGGAGAGGUGAGUGGAAUUCCCAGUGUAGCGGUGAAAUGCGUAGAUAUUGGGAGGAACACCAGUGGCGAAGGCGGCUCACUGGACCGGAACUGACGCUGAGGCGCGAAAGCGUGGGUAGCAAACAGG
This 253-nucleotide ribosomal RNA is filed under the name uncultured bacterium. Its description in RNAcentral is "partial 16S ribosomal RNA". It matches the Rfam family "Bacterial small subunit ribosomal RNA", at positions 524 to 776 of the family's 1533-position model. The record is from RNAcentral.